UUUAUUAAAAACAUGGCCUUUUGAUUAUAAUUUAAGGUCUGGCCUGCCCAAUGAUGUAAAAAUUAAAUGGCCGCGGUAAUUUGACCGUGCAAAGGUAGCACAAUCAAUAGUUUUUUAAUUGAAAGCUGGAAUGAAAGGUUUGAUGAGGGGGUUACUGUCUCUGUCUUAAUUUUAUAGAAUUUUAUUUUUAAGUAAAAAAGCUUAAAUUUAUAUAGAAGACGAGAAGACCCUAUAGAGUUUUAUAGUUUUUAUUAUUUGAUUAAGUUAAGUAUAUUUAAAAUUGAAUAAUAAAAUUUAUUUAGUUGGGGUGAUUGAAAAAUUAGAAAAACUUUUUUUUUAUUGUAACACUGAUUUGUGAUUAAUUGAUCCUUUAUUUGAGAAAAAAGAUUAAAUUACCUUAGGGAUAACAGCGUAAUUUUUUUUUAGAGUUCUAAUCGAAAAAAGAGAUUGCGACCUCGAUGUUGGAUUAAAAGAAAUUAUUGGUGUAGGAGCUAAUAAAUUGGGUCUGUUCGACCUUUAAAAUUUUACAUGAUCUGAGUUUAAACCGGCGUGAGCCAGGUCGG
RNAcentral lists this ribosomal RNA (563 nucleotides) under Tyrannion sp. ARC3967. Its description in RNAcentral is "partial 16S ribosomal RNA". It matches the Rfam family "Bacterial large subunit ribosomal RNA", at positions 1803 to 2634 of the family's 2925-position model. The record is from RNAcentral. Lineage: Eukaryota; Metazoa; Arthropoda; Insecta; Coleoptera; Curculionidae.